GAUGAACGCUGGCGGCGUGCCUAAUACAUGCAAGUCGAGCGAACGGACGAGAAGCUUGCUUCUCUGAUGUUAGCGGCGGACGGGUGAGUAACACGUGGAUAACCUACCUAUAAGACUGGGAUAACUUCGGGAAACCGGAGCUAAUACCGGAUAAUAUUUUGAACCGCAUGGUUCAAAAGUGAAAGACGGUCUUGCUGUCACUUAUAGAUGGAUCCGCGCUGCAUUAGCUAGUUGGUAAGGUAACGGCUUACCAAGGCAACGAUGCAUAGCCGACCGGAGAGGGUGAUCGGCCACCCUGGAGCUGGGACACGCUCCAGACUCCUACGGGAGGCAGCAGUAGGGUAUCUUCCGCAAUGGGCGAAAGCAUGACGGAGCAACGCGGAGUGAGUGAUGAAGGUCUUCGGAUCGUAAAACUCUGUUAUUAGGGAAGAACAUAUGUGUAAGUAACUGAGCACAGCUUGACGGUACCUAAUCAGAAAGCCACGGCUAACUACGUG
RNAcentral lists this ribosomal RNA (497 nucleotides) under uncultured bacterium. RNAcentral describes it as "partial 16S ribosomal RNA". It matches the Rfam family "Bacterial small subunit ribosomal RNA", at positions 28 to 507 of the family's 1533-position model. The record is from RNAcentral.